AAUGUAGAAGUUCCGGUUGUCGCUGGCCCUUUCGGGGGUAUGUGCACGCCUUCUCUUUCAUCCACACACACCUGUGCACUUGUGAGACGGAGGGCUUUAAUUAGUCUUCCGUCUAUUCAACCACACAAACUCAUUGUAUUUAAACUGAAUGUAAUUGAUGUAACGCAUCAUUAGAACUAAGUUUCAACAACGGAUCUCUUGGCUCUCGCAUCGAUGAAGAACGCAGCGAAAUGCGAUAAGUAAUGUGAAUUGCAGAAUUCAGUGAAUCAUCGAAUCUUUGAACGCACCUUGCGCUCCUUGGUAUUCCUUGGAGCAUGCCUGUUUGAGUAUCAUGAAAUUCUCAAAGUAAAUCUUUUGUUAAUUCAACUGUUUUUGCUUUGGACUUGGAGGUCUUUUGCAGAUUUCACGUCUGCUCCUCUUAAAUGCAUUACCGGGCUCUAAUUUUAUGCUGGGUUCCACUCGGCGUGAUAAGUAUCACUCGCUGAGGACACUGUAAAAGGUGGCCAGGAAAUACAAUGACCCGCUUUUAAUAGUCUAUUAAGUUAAACAAUUAAUUUUAAGAUCUGAUCUCAAAUCAGGUAGGACUACCCGCUGAACUUAA
Molecule: ribosomal RNA, 601 nt
Filed under: Thanatephorus sp. R35
Lineage: Eukaryota; Fungi; Basidiomycota; Agaricomycetes; Cantharellales; Ceratobasidiaceae
Description: eukaryotic LSU rRNA
Rfam family: 5.8S ribosomal RNA (bases 179-332)
Source: RNAcentral